GACGAACGCUGGCGGCGUGCUUAACACAUGCAAGUCGAACGGAAAGGCCCUGCUUUUGUGGGGUGCCCGAGUGGCGAACGGGUGAGUAACACGUGAGUAACCUGCCCUUGACUUUGGGAUAACUUCAGGAAACUGGGGCUAAUACCGGAUAGGAGCUCCUGCUGCAUGGUGGGGGUUGGAAAGUUUCGGCGGUUGGGGAUGGACGCGCGGCUUAUCAGCUUGUUGGUGGGGUAGUGGCUUACCAAGGCUUUGACGGGUAGCCGGCCUGAGAGGGUGGCCGGCCACCUUGGGACUGAGGUACGGCCCAGACUCCAACGGGAGGCAGCAGUGGGGAAUAUUGCCCAGUGGGCGGAAGCCGGAUGCAGCAACGCCGCGUUCGGAAUGACGGCCUGCUGGUUGUAAACCGCUUUCGCCUGUGACGAAGCGUGAGUGACGGUAAUGGGUAAAGAAGCACCGGCUAACUACGUG
This 468-nucleotide ribosomal RNA is filed under the name uncultured bacterium. RNAcentral describes it as "partial 16S ribosomal RNA". It matches the Rfam family "Bacterial small subunit ribosomal RNA", at positions 28 to 507 of the family's 1533-position model. The record is from RNAcentral.